UCGCUGCUCGGGUGCCUUCUCCUGUCGUUGUCCUUGACCUCGUGGAAUAGUCCCAGCCACGGAACAACUCUGCUUCUCCGCUCCCCUGUCUCUCCCUGGCCGACGGCGGCGCCGCCGCUCUCCGGCAAGAUGUUUGGGGUCUACUGCGGCAUGUAUGUAUAUUACUCCCUCCUUCAUCCUGAUGUCCUGACAUGCUUAAUCGCCCGGCAUACUUUGUGGAUUUGGAUUUGGUUGACCACGCCGCCUGCUUAUCUUUCAGAUCCAAUCCGUCUGCUUCACCAUGCCGGAGUCUAUGGAAGGCUUCCACUGAUUCUCCUCUACAGCAUGUUCUUAUUGUUUUGGUUUUCCUCGUCCGCGGGCUGCCAGUUCUGGACACUGACCCUCUAGCCAUGAUGAGGCCGGUCAAGAAGUAGCAGGCUUCUCUUAGCAUCGCCAAUGAGGAAAUCUGUCGUGCCGGGAAACUAUGCCAGGCAAAGUGUUAGAUUCCCCCUGAAUUCGAUGGGAUUCAUGUGUGAUUUGAAGCUACCAGCGGCUGGACCGGAGGUUUGGGAUGUUGGGAGCAGCAGUGAAGCGUGAGGUCGAUCCAAACAGAAUGAAUACUUUGGAAAUGUCAAUUAGGUCAUUUUAACCAAGCGGGAAUUAUCCCAAGCUUCUCUCCGGACUGCUUAGGUACAAAAUGAAAAUUAGAUACUAAGACUAGCUAGAUGUAGUUCCCCCGAUAUGUUAUAGAUUGUUCAGUGCUUACUAUGCUUGUAUUUGAUAUGGAGGUGAUUUGCAAAUUCUGGGAUAUUAGGAGCGCAUGUCAUCGGGACUCAUUUUGUUGUAGGUGUCGGCCUAAACAAAAUUGUGUUAGAGGCCGCGUUGGUGGCACAAACGAGUU
Molecule: long non-coding RNA, 880 nt
Organism: Triticum aestivum (bread wheat)
Lineage: Eukaryota; Viridiplantae; Streptophyta; Magnoliopsida; Poales; Poaceae
Exons: 2
Source: RefSeq, a predicted model, not a curated record